RNAcentral lists this ribosomal RNA (164 nucleotides) under uncultured bacterium. RNAcentral's name for it is "partial 16S rRNA". It matches the Rfam family "Bacterial small subunit ribosomal RNA", at positions 355 to 511 of the family's 1533-position model. The record is from RNAcentral.
UAGGGAAUCUUCCACAAUGGAUGAAAGUCUGAUGGAGCAACGCCGCGUGAGUGAAGAAGGGUUUCGGCUCGUAAAACUCUGUUGUUAAAGAAGAACAUAUCUGAGAGUAACUGUUCAGGUAUUGACGGUAUUUAACCAGAAAGCCACGGCUAACUACGUGCUAG